RNAcentral lists this transfer RNA (74 nucleotides) under Tissierellia bacterium. RNAcentral's name for it is "tRNA-Arg". It matches the Rfam family "tRNA". From Rfam's summary of the family: Transfer RNA (tRNA) molecules are approximately 80 nucleotides in length. Their secondary structure includes four short double-helical elements and three loops (D, anti-codon, and T loops). Lineage: Bacteria; Bacillati; Bacillota; Tissierellia. The record is from RNAcentral.
GUGCCCGUAGCUCAACUGGAUAGAGCACAUGACUUCGGAUCAUGGUGUUGGGGGUUCAAGUCCUCUCGGGCGCG